Molecule: ribosomal RNA, 460 nt
Filed under: uncultured bacterium
Lineage: Bacteria
Description: partial 16S ribosomal RNA
Rfam family: Bacterial small subunit ribosomal RNA
Source: RNAcentral
CCUACGGGAGGCAGCAGUGAGGAAUAUUGGUCAAUGGACGAGAGUCUGAACCAGCCAAGUAGCGUGAAGGAUGACUUCCCUAUUGGUUGUAAACUUCUUUUAUAUGGGAAUAAAAUGUUCCACGUGUGUGAUUUUGUAUGUACCAUAUGAAUAAGGAUCGGCUAACUCCGUGCCAGCAGCCGCGGUAAUACGGAGGAUCCGAGCGUUAUCCGGAUUUAUUGGGUUUAAAGGGAGCGUAGGUGGAUUGUUAAGUCAGGUGUGAAAGUUUGCGGCUCAACCGUAAAAUUGCAGUUGAAACUGGCAGUCUUGAGUACAGUAGAGGUGGGCGGAAUUCGUGGUGUAGCGGUGAAAUGCUUAGAUAUCACGAAGAACUCCGAUUGCGAAGGCAGUUCACUGGACUGCAACUGACACUGAGGCUCGAAAGUGUGGGUAUCAAACAGGAUUAGAUACCCGUGUAGUC